RNAcentral lists this ribosomal RNA (607 nucleotides) under Salmonella enterica subsp. enterica serovar Kentucky. RNAcentral's name for it is "partial 23S ribosomal RNA". It matches the Rfam family "Bacterial large subunit ribosomal RNA", at positions 1084 to 1693 of the family's 2925-position model. Lineage: Bacteria; Pseudomonadati; Pseudomonadota; Gammaproteobacteria; Enterobacterales; Enterobacteriaceae. RNAcentral also lists the same sequence under 1 other name. The record is from RNAcentral.
CCCAGACAGCCAGGAUGUUGGCUUAGAAGCAGCCAUCAUUUAAAGAAAGCGUAAUAGCUCACUGGUCGAGUCGGCCUGCGCGGAAGAUGUAACGGGGCUAAACCAUGCACCGAAGCUGCGGCAGCGACACUGUGUGUUGUUGGGUAGGGGAGCGUUCUGUAAGCCUGCGAAGGUGUCCCGUGAGGGAUGCUGGAGGUAUCAGAAGUGCGAAUGCUGACAUAAGUAACGAUAAAGCGGGUGAAAAGCCCGCUCGCCGGAAGACCAAGGGUUCCUGUCCAACGUUAAUCGGGGCAGGGUGAGUCGACCCCUAAGGCGAGGCCGAAAGGCGUAGUCGAUGGGAAACGGGUUAAUAUUCCCGUACUUGGUGUUACUGCGAAGGGGGGACGGAGAAGGCUAUGUUGGCCGGGCGACGGUUGUCCCGGUUUAAGCGUGUAGGCUGGUUUUCCAGGCAAAUCCGGAAAAUCAAGGCUGAGGCGUGAUGACGAGGCACUACGGUGCUGAAGCAACAAAUGCCCUGCUUCCAGGAAAAGCCUCUAAGCAUCAGGUAACAUCAAAUCGUACCCCAAACCGACACAGGUGGUCAGGUAGAGAAUACCAAGGCGCUUGA